RNAcentral lists this ribosomal RNA (162 nucleotides) under Cladochytriales sp. Its description in RNAcentral is "partial large subunit ribosomal RNA". It matches the Rfam family "Eukaryotic large subunit ribosomal RNA", at positions 99 to 261 of the family's 3401-position model. The record is from RNAcentral. Lineage: Eukaryota; Fungi; Chytridiomycota; Chytridiomycetes; Cladochytriales.
CGGGAACAGCUCAAAUUUAAAAUCUCCCUUCCGGGCGAAUUGUAGUUUAUAGAAGUGUCUUUCUGGGGCAGCUCGGGCAUAUGUCGUUUGGAAAAACGCAUCAAAGAGGGUGAGAAUCCCGUAUUUGGCCUGAAGUCUGUCUCUCUGUGAUGCACUUUCAAA